GAUGAAGAACGCAGCGAAAUGCGAUAAGUAAUGUGAAUUGCAGAAUUCAGUGAAUCAUCGAAUCUUUGAACGCACAUUGCGCCCCCCGGUAUUCCGGCGGGCAUGCCUGUUCGAGCGUCAUUACAACCCUCAGGCCCCCGGGCCUGGCGUUGGGGAUCGGCGGAAGCCCCCUGCGGGCACAACGCCGUCCCCCAAAUACAGUGGCGGUCCCGCCGCAGCUUCCAUUGCGUAGUAGCUAACACCUCGCAACUGGAGAGCGGCGCGGCCACGCCGUAAAACACCCAACUUCUGAAUGUUGACCUCGAAUCAGGUAGGAAUACCCGCUGAACUUAAGCAUAUCAAUAAGCGGAGGA
Molecule: unclassified non-coding RNA, 353 nt
Filed under: soil metagenome
Description: partial contains 5.8S ribosomal RNA, internal transcribed spacer 2, and large subunit ribosomal RNA
Rfam family: 5.8S ribosomal RNA (bases 1-120)
Source: RNAcentral